CGGCGGACGGGUGAGUAACGCGUGGGUAACCUGCCUCAUACAGGGGGAUAACAGUUAGAAAUGACUGCUAAUACCGCAUAAGCGCACGGGACCGCAUGGUCUUGUGUGAAAAACUCCGGUGGUAUGAGAUGGACCCGCGUCUGAUUAGGUAGUUGGCGGGGUAGCGGCCCACCAAGCCGACGAUCAGUAGCCACCUGAGAGGGUGACCGGCCACAUUGGGACUGAGACACGGCCCAAACUCCUACGGAAGGCAGCAG
RNAcentral lists this ribosomal RNA (257 nucleotides) under uncultured bacterium. Its description in RNAcentral is "partial 16S ribosomal RNA". It matches the Rfam family "Bacterial small subunit ribosomal RNA", at positions 96 to 354 of the family's 1533-position model. The record is from RNAcentral.